GUUCAGGUCACGUGACGUUAUCGUGUAAUUGGAGUGGAAAUGGCCAGAAUUACUGGUGUGAAAUAAACCGUUUCUUUUACCGUUUCAAAGAUUGUUUCAUAGAAAUAAAGGUUAUCUUUUAUGAAAUUAAUAUUUGUUUUAACUAUAAAUGACAUUUUUAAACUAUAACGAGUUUUAGAAACCUUUUUAAACUUUAUCUAGAAAUGCGCCGAUUCGACGACGUUCUGCAUGUUUAGUGUAUUACGGCCGCGGUUUAGUCUGUUCUUUAAGAGGUAGUCGUUUUUUGAUUGGCUAUCCGGGAGCUGUUUGAUGACGUAUCGCUUUGUAAAGCCAAUGAAAUAAAAGAUAACACUCCAAGCUACAUGGUGAUAUAUUUUCGCAUGGCGUAUGACCUUUAGAAGUUGGUGAAAAUGUAAACAGAAUAAAGUCAUCGGAAAAUUUUACGUUCCACAUGUUUUGGAUUGUGACUGUGGGCAGUUGUGACCAUGUUCUGUUUUGAAGAGUCGAGUAGUAAAAAACCAUGAAGCCAUCGUGAUGAGCCAUGAUGUGGAUAUAAACAGGGCUAUUUUUUAUAUUUUUUUUCUUCACAUUUAUAAUUUGUAUACAUGUACUGCUGGUAGGGACAUGUAGAAGCAUAACUUACAACUUAUAAUUUAAUUCUGAAAUUGAAGAAAAUUAACAAACUAAAUUCCUAAGCCUAGCAUGCUAGGCUUUUAGGUUUUACUUACUAUUUAACGUUUAAGUAGCAGUGAUUCACAUUACAUGACUUUAUUUACAUACUUUACCAUAAAAUAUUUACAUAACAUGCCGUCAUGCGUUUAAAAGGCCCAGUUGUUUCUGAUUAAUACUAGCCCGUGUCUAGCGUGCUAUAUUUAUAACUUUAAAGCCGUCCUGCUAUUAUGACACAAGGCGUGCCAAUAUGACAAGACCGCACACACCAGUUUAAUAUUUAACUUUUUAGCUAUUGAUGCGUCUAUUUUUGCCAUUUCAGAAUCGCAUAACCUUGAUACCGGGAAACAGGCCUUGACCAACAAAGAUGUUAUCACAGCUUUUGAACAAUUUUGUUGCGGGAAAAUUACUUUUAAAUUUGAAGGGACUUUUUGCGCGUACACUAUUUUUAGUACACUGUUGUUAUUGUACCUCAUUAAUUUUAAAUUGUUGGUUGCUAUGGAAACAGCUUUCUGCAUAACCUUAAGUUUCACAAUAUACCAUUCUCAGUAAGAGAAGUCAUUUGGAAGUACAUACUUAUGAAACCAAUCAAACACUUUUCACAAAUACCUUUUUUUGCACUUUUUAAAUUUUUUGGGUGUUUUGACUUGUUUCUAUGGCAACCCUUUUUCACUAUUCUUUGCAAAUAGAUGCAUGUACAUGUCAUGUGCAGUGAUGUAUGGUUAUCAAAUUGAUAGUGUUUUGUGCUGAUUAUGAGUAUUGGGAUAAGAGUUUUAUUGAACCUUAAUUAUUUACAAAUUGCGUAGUUUUAUGCUUUCAAUUCUUCCUUUUAUGCUUUUGAUUUUGGUUGCUAUGGAGACAGAUUCUGUAAAAUGUUGCUAAAUAUUAUUAGUAAUGGUCUUAACUUUGCAAACCACCAUAUGUAAAAGUCUUUUGUCUUUUAAUUGACAAAAAAUCUUUAAUUUUAGCAAUUUUCAUAUUGUAUGCUUUUAUUACCCGUUUCCAUGGCAACGGUUUUUUUCUGUUAUAUGACUGGAUUUUCGUAAAAAAUUGUCAUAACUUGUUAAAAAAUAUCACUGAUCAAAUUACCUUUCUAAAAAUGUAUACUUUAUUAUGCAUUUACUGAUUAAGCUUAGCUGAAAUAACAUUUAAAGAACA
This is a long non-coding RNA of Dreissena polymorpha, 1827 nucleotides long. RefSeq lists it as uncharacterized. NCBI's taxonomy places the organism in Eukaryota, Metazoa, Mollusca, Bivalvia, Myida, Dreissenidae. The transcript is spliced from 2 exons. The record is from RefSeq and is a predicted model, not a curated record.